Molecule: long non-coding RNA, 2538 nt
Organism: Oreochromis niloticus (Nile tilapia)
Lineage: Eukaryota; Metazoa; Chordata; Actinopteri; Cichliformes; Cichlidae
Exons: 6
Source: RefSeq, a predicted model, not a curated record
GGUUAGCAGUUAUAGGCACCCAUGUUAUUGUCGCUUGUUGUGUCAAAUGUAUUUUUAUGGAAAUUUUAAAUUCACACACACACACACACACACACAAAUCCACCCACGACCACGUGUGUGUACCGAUUAUGCUAUUUAUUAAAUAAAUAAAUUAUUCCCUUCUCCAAAGAGAGCUUCUGGAAACCCAUAAAACACAGGAGAGCAGUGAGUGCAUUGUUUAUGAUUUCUCCAAGGGCCCCUGAUUUACGCUCACCACAUUAAGCAGCACAAUGGGUUUAAUAUAAUUUACACACUUAGAAAUUCAUAAAACAAAUGUCUCAUUUUGGUGGUAAAGCACUGGUUGCUAGUUGGCUAUAAAUAUUUUUGCUUUGAUCGUUGCAGUUUAAGGAUAUUAUGCACAUUACAUAUCCUGGUCACUGGCACGUAGUUUCCCCAUUUCUAACAUGAAUCCUAUUAUAAAAUGAUUAAAAAGGAAAUACAUUUAAAAAAUAAAUAAAUAAAUGGAGUUUGGGAUUUGUUGAAUCGGUAUAGGAAUGGGUUAAUUUUUAUUUACUUAUAGUUUCCAAAUAACCCAAAGCUGUCGAUGCCUCAGACAGAAGAGGGGGGCGUCUUAAAGCUCUCUCUCUCUUAUUCUCUCUCUCUCGCUCGCUCCCUCUCUCUCGCUCCCUCUAAAACAAAGACGCUUUGUCAUAAACAGGGUUAUUUUACCAAAAGGAGUCAAGAGGGCAACAUAUGUGGUCUUAACAGGUCAGAGGUCAAACAUCCAUGAAACACAAGGUCACGUAAGCCACACAAGUAACCUUGCAAUGUGUCAACAUAUUGAUACUGUCAGAUAACGGAGAGGAGAAAUAUGCCUUUGGCAUCCAUUAUAACACACAGGCAGAGCGCCCCUUGCGCGAUCGGGAUUGUUGGGUUUAAUGUUAUAAACCUGUCAGAUGUUAUUUUUUCUUUUUCUUGUAUUUUUGUCAGCUGUAACUUUAGAUUGUGUGUAAUAUUUUACGUGAUUUAUUUGUUACGCGUGUGAGCAUAUCUCAGUGAGUAUUGGUACUUCUAAAACCUGUUGAAAUACUAGUCUGUGGGGGAUUUUGAAUAGGUUGGAGGCUUUUUCUUUUCCAGGCAGAAGGGAAAACCCACAGCCUCUUGAUGAUUGAUUUUUUUUUUCUCAAAAUUUUCUUUCUCCUUUCCCGUAUCUGGGGAAGGUUUUUGUGUUUUUUUUUUUCUUCAGAGAAAUAAAGAACUUCUUAUAGGGGUCGGCAGACGUGACUUUGAACUUGGAUCAGCUCCUGCGUUUCCUGUGGUGCGAGUUGAAAUAGACUUGGAAGAAUGGCAUACAACGCUCAGCCUGUCCCACUCAGAGCUAGGAGACACAAUUAAAAAAAAAAGUUUUUAAAACGUUUCCCUGGUCUUCACCAUUAUUUGUCGUCUAGAGUGCACCGGAGAAGCUGAGACAGGCAGAAAGCUGUGUUGUGUGACGGAACCGCAGAGCUUGUGGGAUUUUUUGGGGGGUGAAAAUUUUGUCUUUGAUCCCUUCUCCUCAAACUUCUGCCCCCUGGGUCACCAGCUGACAGACAACGAGAGGAGGGUGCCGCCUCUUUUCUUAUCCACUCUUCUCUUGCUUUUUUUGCUGUUUGGGAUACGUAGUGUUUUGCAGCCGGGGAACCAUUUGGGAACCUCAGAGUUUGAGCUCACCUUCAAGACAACGUGAAUCUCAAAGAUCAACAUCAGAAGUUAAAGUUAAUAGGAAGCUGUGAUGAAGACAUUAUUUCCCAGAUCUCACCUUUUGUGCUUCUUAUCUCAUCUGCUUUUUAUCAGCGAAAGAGCUUUAUGCAGGCCACGAGUGACCCACGAGCACUUUAAAUGAAUACAGUGUGCUAAUAGCUGAGCGAAGACACCCUGGGAGCAGGCAUGAAAUAUGUGCAAGGACCCGUGACCACUGAGAUAAUAGCCCCUGCCCAGACCACGGAUUCUCUGUCCACUCUCUCCUCCGCUGCGCUCCACCCAAGGUUUGGAGUGGCUCAUAUCCAGGACAGAUGGGCCGAAAGAAGAGAAGAUGGGGCCAGCUCUAAUUAAAGCCAAAGGAAGAGUGUCAUCUGCUGUGAACUCGCAACUAGGGGCCACAGCAAAUCAAUGGACGGCCAACACUGUCAUCACCAUCAACAGCUCCCGAUCAGAGCAAUUGGAGGGGAACAAAAAGGAAUGAAAAAGACUCUACCAGGAAGCUUCUACCACCUGUGCAGAGCAGGAGAGAGAAGGGAAGAGAGAGAGGGCGAGAGAAACGCAGGGAGGGAGAAACGAGAGACAGACAGAGAGAACAAGAUCGUGACGCCGUGGUUUCAGCUAUUGUAAAAACGCCAGAGACUUGUCGUUUCUUUGUUUAGGCCAAGCAAUUUUGUCAUCAUCACCAAGAGCAUCUAUUUUGAUAAACAAAGGUGCAAUUUUAUGAAGAUUGGCUGCAAACAGAAUGAUCUUAUGACCUGUUUAAAAAAAAUAUAGAUUUUUUUUUUUUUUUUUUCGCCAGUGGAUCAAACUGCUGCAUAU